This 1753-nucleotide long non-coding RNA is filed under the name Citrus sinensis (sweet orange). RNAcentral's name for it is "long non-coding RNA (CSIN_LNC000218)". Lineage: Eukaryota; Viridiplantae; Streptophyta; Magnoliopsida; Sapindales; Rutaceae. The record is from RNAcentral.
UUUAGGCAAAAGUUUCAAAAUCAUAGCUGUCAACAUUUCUACAUAUUUCCUACAUUUUUCUACAAACAUAAAUAAUUGAAUAAAAAAAUGAUCGGAAAACUAACCACUGGGGCAACUUCAAUGCCACCUUGGUUUCUCUGGUAUCCUAGAACUGUACAUGGCUCUGAAGAAUGAAACGAAGGUAACAGUACAAAAUCCGCCAUCUGGACAACUAAUAAAUCGUGAAAAUCAGCGACAAAGCUGGCACGGUGGCUCCCAUCAUCAAGAAUCGUUUAGUAAUGGCGUUUCAAUUAUACAGAGAUAGCUCAUCAUACCUUUGCUUUGCUCCUGCUCAAGUGAAAGGGGUGGUAUUUCGUACUGUUGUCAAUGGAAAUAACAUUUGUGCCACAAAAGUUUUGAGAAAUAACACAAAGAAGAUAGUUUAUAAUUACUUUUCAAACAGGUAUCUUUUAUUAGUGGAAGUGGCAAUUUGGGUUUUCUGUGCUGUGUUGUCUUCUUAUCAUGUCAAAAUUGAACCAACUAAACUUCUCCUUAUGUAAUAAUUAUAUCAAGAAUCUCAAUUCUUACAGAAAUCCAUUUAUUCUUGUGUCACCUAAUUAAUAAAAUAAUAAAAUUUUCUUCAUUAAAAUAAUAUUUUAACGUACUAUAUUCUUUUAGAAAUGAUGUACUAUCACCUACAAAACAUGACAAAUGUAACACAUAUCUAAUUGACUAAUAUAUAAUUUAAUAUUAAUUGAUUAAUUAAUCCUUCGUAAAACAAGUUAUCAUAUUAGCACGCUUAUGAUAAAUCGUUACAAUUCUUAUUCCAAUUGUUUAAUUUAAACAAUUCAUCAAAAAAGAUUUAGUAAAAAUUAUUUCUGCAUAACAUUCUUGAGAAAAAGAAAUUGAGUUCAAAAUUGAAAAACAAAGAAUAUUUGGAUUUGAAUUCACAUCCAACUCAAACGAAACAGCGAUAUUCAUAAAAAAAAAGUUUGAAUUCUCUUCCCCAAAAAAAAAUAAAUUAUGAGGUUGAUAAUAAAAAUUUUUACAGUAGCUUUCAGUAUUUUUAAGUUAUUAAUUUCCUGCAAAAAUCAUAUAAUACAACGUUCAUAAGCAAAUGCACAUAGUUGAAUCAACCAAAUCAGGGAGAAAAUACAAUACUUAAUUUGAAUGGCAAGCACGACUAACUAAUUUGCAAUUCAGCUCUGACUUGAAUUUUUUAAUAGGGAAUCACUUAGUAAUGACAAUAAAAAAUCCUUGCUUGUUCUUUUUUUUGGAAAAAAAUUUAAUAAUUAUCGAUAAUAAAAUAAUGAUAUCUCGUUCCUUUUUUACCCUCGCAACCUAAUAAAAUUUCCUUAUCUAAUACCCAUAUUAAAACGCACUUUCACUUUCCCUCUUCCAAUUUGGCGCGCGAUCUUCUCAAUUUCAAAAGCCAAAAGGUCAGUCAACUCUCUAAACCGUAAUUUUCUGUUUGUUUCCCGAGAAAAUCCAUGAAAAUGAACCGUUAAAAACAUAAAUAAUUGAAUAAAAAAAAAUGAUCGGAAAACUAACCACCGGGGCAACUUCAAUGCCACCUUGGUUUCUCUGGUAUCCUAGAACUGUACAUGGCUCUGAAGAAUGAAACGAAGGUAACAGUACAAAAUCCGCCAUCUGGACAACUAAUAAAUCGUGCAAAUCAGCGACAAAGCUGGCACGGUGGCUCCCAUCAUCAAGAAUCGUUUAGUAAUGGCGUUUCAAUUAUACAGAGAUAGCUCAUCAUACCUUUGCUUUGCUC